This 253-nucleotide ribosomal RNA is filed under the name uncultured bacterium. RNAcentral's name for it is "partial 16S ribosomal RNA". It matches the Rfam family "Bacterial small subunit ribosomal RNA", at positions 524 to 776 of the family's 1533-position model. The record is from RNAcentral.
UACGUAGGGUGCAAGCGUUAAUCGGAAUUACUGGGCGUAAAGCGUGCGCAGGCGGUGAUGUAAGACAGAUGUGAAAUCCCCGGGCUCAACCUGGGAACUGCAUUUGUGCCUGCAUCGCUGGAGUGCGGCAGAGGGGGAUGGAAUUCCGCGUGUAGCAGUGAAAUGCGUAGAUAUGCGGAGGAACACCGAUGGCGAAGGCAAUCCCCUGGGCCUGCACUGACGCUUAUGCACGAAAGCGUGGGGAGCAAACAGG